CAUCCGAAAACUUUUCUUUUUUCCUUCCAAACCUGCUACCCAUUUGAAAAAUUAAUUAGCUGAAGCAGGAGAUCAUGAAUAUAUGCUUUGAACAUCCUGAGCUGUUUGGCUAUUCUCGCUGUAAACUCUUGAUAUCCCAAUUUGUAUAAUUUCUUAUUUUUCACUACUUUAGUUGGAAUUGGUGUUGGGGUAUUAAGAGUUUACAAUGAGAUAGCCAACGGCUCAUGUUGUUUUGAAGGCAUAUAUAUGAUAUAGGUUGGUUACGUAGAAUGAGUGGUGUAUUUUACAGAUGUGGAAAGUCGGGCUACAGGUAUUCGUUUUAGACAUAUAAUAUAUCAUUUUGAAUCUUGUGACAAGAUGAACCAAACUUAGAACAACAUGUGGUUGAUCUAGAAAUUUUGUUUCUUUUCUGGUCAUUUUGUUAUUCUAAGUAUUUGUUCUCUCUAUUUUUCCUAUAGAUUUCAGGAUUUUUUUUCUUUUUUUUUUAAAUAUUGGAUUUAGAUGCCAUUUGUUUUGUUUUCCUUAUUUAGAGUAGAAGAAUUUUAUUAUAAAAUAUUAUUUUUAAUUUGCAUGUUUUAGUAAAUUCAUGAUAUUUAGAACUCGUAUAUCAUUUAUGCAUCGAUACUACUUCUUCUCUAUUAAUUCCUCGCUCCAUUAGGUUUUAUAAUUUACAAUUUUGACGCUGCUUCUUCUCUAUUUAAUUUCCUUGUCGAUUAACUAAGCAUGUUAUUUGGUGACAAAUUCAUCUCUUUUCCCUUUAAGGUGGUGUUUGGUUGGAAGAAGAGAAUGGAGGAGAGGAAAAUAAUUUAAAUUAUCUUUUUAUUUCCAUUGUUUGGUUUGACAAAAUAUAUAAGAAUUUAAUUUCCAUUAAAAUUUAAUAUCCAUCAUAAUUUAGAAUUUGAAGUCCACACCUAAUAAUGAAGAAUUUAAAUUCCUCUUAUGUUAGAAAUUAAAGUUUUCAAAAUUACCCUUCAACUUUUAAACUUGUUUAAUGCCAUUAAUAAUUAUUAUUUAUAAUUUUAUUUUAUUGAUUUAAUAUUAUAAAUGGACCUUCACCGAAAAGUCACCGGACCACCGCCGGACGUCAUUGGAAAGUCGCCGGAUGUAGCCAAACUUUCACCGGAAAGUCGGUGGACCUCCACCAGACCUCGCCGGAAAGACACCAGACCUUCGCCACCGGCCACCGGACAACCAUUUUAUUAUAUAUAUAUAUAUAUAUUAUUAUUACUAAUUUAAAUAGUUUAAUUUUUAAAGUAAAAGAUAAAUUUGUCUUAAAAAAAAUUAUAAUUCAUUUUGAUCCUUAUCAAAUUUUAUAUCAAAUCAAACAAUAAAAUCUAAUUUCACUACUCUUCUCCGUUCCUUUCUUUUCUCUUCCUCUCCAUUCCACUCUUUUCCUCUCCUCAUUUUUUUUCAAACCAAACAUGGCCUAAGUUUUUUUAAAAUAAUUUGAACAUGUGCAUGUAUAGUCUUUCUCCCAGUUAUAAAACAUCCAAAUUAAUUCAAAUUAUUAAGUCGUAGGUUUGGUGGUUUGACUUGAAGAUGACCACGUGGUAAUCUAAUUAAGACUAUUGCCUAAAUUACAACUUGAAUAAAAUAAAAUUAUCUUAUUUAAAUUAGACCAUAUAUUCAUUAGUUUUCCUUUUUCCUAAUUUAAUUCUUAUUCAAGUUGUAAUUUUAUUUUAGGCAAGAGUCUUAAAUUUAAGUUAUUAAAAUAUAGUUUUUUUGUAAGAUUGAGUGUUGAGUUUCUAUUUAUUCGGUGUUCUCUAUAAUCAAUUAAUCUUAACAUAGUAGAUUUAUUCUUAAAAUCAACGUGAAUUCUAAUUUAGAACCACGCAACAGUAAGCAGAUUAACCGAAUAUGACUCAAGACACCAAAGCCUUGGCCAUAGAACUUUCGCGUGAAAAAAAACCGAUGAUCAAUUCAAUAUGAGUUUGUUAGGAUAAAUAGAUCUAUAAAUAAACACUUUGGGGCUACGAUAGAAUUUGCGUGAACAACAUGAAGUUCAAAGAGAAGCUGAAGUUUUUCGUUUGGACUCAUUGCUAGGAUUAGAUGAUUUCAGAUAUUUGGUGGGUCAAAUCGAUUCCUCAUUAUUCACUAAUAAGGGCCAUGUAAUUGUAUGUCAAUUUUAUGAUUCAACAUUUCAACGUAUAUCAAAUUAGUUUUUGGUGUUUCAGUUAGUUUUCCAGUACCAUUUUUAAAAGAUUUUACAGGGACAAAUGUUAGGAAAUUGAGCUUCCUCCCAAGAUCACUCCAAGCAAUUUAUCAAGCAACAAAUUAAUAGAAAAAAAUUUAAUGGAGAAUACACCAAUCACAUAACACAAGAUUUACGUGGAAAACUCCAAAUCCGGAGAAAAACCACGGCCGUUGUCACAAGACAACCAGAGAUAAAUAUUCACUGUGUGGAAAAUUAUUACAACUACUCUCAGAAAUAAUUUUCUCUCACCCAAGCCCCAAAUACAUAAUCCCAAUAAAUAUUCCUUAACAAAGCAAACUCAUAAUACUCAUAUUGAGGAGCCAAAUGCUCCUUCAAUAUAACUACAUGCUUAAGAAUAUUUUUAUCUCUCAAUUCUCACCAAAAUUUUGAUCGCUUCUCUGGGAUUUGGAUACAAAAAUAAGGAUGAGCACUCCUCUAUUUAUAGCCAAAUUAUGACUUCAUUUUCUUCCUUUUUUCCCUGCUGUACCGUACAUCCGCCUUGGCCGUACAGCAGUCCGAGAGAACUUGAUGAAAUUUUCCAUUUUUUAAGAGAGAAAAAGGUAGCUUUGUUUUGAGUUCGCAGAAGAGCCACAGUGUCACUUUCCACUAAGUCCCCUAAUUUGAUGGGACUGUUAGUGAUCCCAAAACCCAAUUAAAAUCCAACUUCCUUGAGAACGAAGAUGUUAACUCAUAAUGUCAUCAUUUAGUCAACAGACUACACACUUGUCAAGCCUAAGCCAAUCAAAUGCAUAUUUCAUACACUUUCAUGUCGCCAUUUAACACUUUCUUGAUCACAUUGACCAAAUAUUCUCAUCAAUAAAUACACACUCAAAAUCAUAAAAGAUAAUACUACUCAACAAUAUUGAAUAAUGCAACUCAGUAAUUGCAGCCAUGGCCAGAAAAACAAUGUUCCUCUUUAUUUUCUUUUGUUUUCUUUUGAUUCUCCUCCCCCUCUCAGCUUCUGCAGAAUGCAAGUGUGAUCUCACUGAAACCAUCGGCGGCAGUGGCCACAAAAACAAAGCUUUGAAAUUGAAAAUCGUUGCGAUUCUAUCAAUCCUGAUUGCGGGUGCUUUCGGUGUUUCAAUUCCAAGCUUUGGAAAAAACAUCUCAACUUUUCAUCCUGAGAACAAUAUUUUCUUCAUAAUCAAAGCCUUCGCCGCCGGCGUGAUUCUUGCCACAGGCUUUGUCCACAUACUGCCUGAUGCGUAUGAGAGUCUAACAAGUCCAUGCUUAAGCCCAAAACCAUGGCAGGAUUUCCCUUUCACCGGGUUUGUGGCAAUGGUUUCCGCGAUUUUGACUAUGAUGGUUGAUGCAUUUGCCACAUCUUUUUAUCAACGUUUGCAUUUUAGUAAGGCUUUGCCUGUUAAUGAUGAUGACAAGGAGAUGCAUGCAGAGCAUGAAGGUCAUGUUCAUGUACAUACACAUGCCACGCACGGCCAUGCUCAUGGCUCUGCUUUUGCAUCGUCGGAUGCUUCUGGUUCUGGGACUUCUGAUCUUUUCCGACACCGAAUUGUAUCACAGGUAUCAAUUGAUGUGAGUUGAUAGUUUACUUUCCCCUUUGUUUUCUAUUACACCAUUCUGAUGGUGAGAAAAAAAAAACAAAUAAAUCCUCAAAUAUUUUAUUUUAAUUAAACUAUCUAAUUCUUUUCCAAAAAAAAAAACUAAACUAUCUAAUCGAAGAAGCAAUUUCCAGAGAUGACAAAACUUGUAACAAGUACUUCUGAUAAUUUAUCGCGCCGCUUGUGUUUGCGCAUGUUCCAGAAGUUGACUGACUAACUUGUAAGUACGUCCUGAAAGUCCUUUGGUGUGGUCAAUCAAUUGCACGUACACGUUGGGCUAGGUGGGUUCCAUGAUAACAGUUCCUGACUUUGCAUCAAUCUUGGCAUCAGGUUUUGAGUUGCGAAUAAGAUUCAGAAAGUCAGUUUUGCAGAAAGCAUUAUCUGUGAAGUCAGUUUUGCAGAAAGCAUUAUCUGUGAAGUCAGUUUUGCAGAAAGCAUUAUCUGUGAAGUCAGUUUUGCAGAAAGCAUUAUCUGUGAAGUCAGUUUUGCAGAAAGCAUUAUCUGUGAAGUCAGUUUUGCAGAAAGCAUUAUCUGUGAAGUCAGUUUUGCAGAAAGCAUUAUCUGUGAAGUCAGUUUUGCAGAAAGCAUUAUCUGUGAAGUCAGUUUUGCAGAAAGCAUUAUCUGUGAAGUCAGUUUUGCAGAAAGCAUUAUCUGUGAAGUCAGUUUUGCAGAAAGCAUUAUCUGUGAAGUCAGUUUUGCAGAAAGCAUUAUCUGUGAAGUCAGUUUUGCAGAAAGCAUUAUCUGUGACACUACUGAUAUGCUUUCUGAUACAAAGAUGGGUCGAUGUUUUCUGGUACUGAUAUGACAUUAGUUGGAAAAUGGAACUGUGUUUACUGUUUGUAUCAUGUGGGUAGUGCAAAAAAUAGGAUAAAGGCAUUUACAGUGUGGGGCUAUCUUGCCUUUAUCUUCAUUUGAAUUAUAUUUCAUUUGAAUUAUAUUUAAAGCAUAUAUGGUGAAGAUACUACACUAUAUCUAUCUGUUCGUUGAAAAGUUUGUUCACUAUUGCGAAGCCUUCAAUUCUCCUCCACGUAACAAAAUUGAAUGUUUUAUAGGUAUUAGAGUUGGGGAUAGUUGUGCAUUCGGUGAUCAUUGGGAUUUCACUGGGUGCUUCCGGAAGUGUAAAGACAAUCAAGCCCCUCGUAGCAGCACUAACUUUUCACCAGUUCUUUGAAGGCAUGGGCCUUGGUGGAUGCAUCUCUCAGGUACUCUCUACUCGUUAGUCACAAAUUUUAAAAUGUAAAAGCCAAGAACACAAAAUAUAAAGAGCAUUGAUGGUGUUGAUUUGUUUGUGGAAGCAGGCAAAGUUCAAGUCAAAAGCCGUAGCGGCAAUGAUACUUUUCUUUUCCCUGACCACUCCCGUCGGGAUUGGAAUUGGGAUUGGGAUAUCAAAAGUUUACAAAGAGAAUAGCCCAACAGCUCUUGUUAUUGAAGGCAUUUUCAACUCUGCUUCAGCUGGAAUCUUGAUCUAUAUGGCGCUUGUGGAUCUUCUUGCAACGGAUUUUAUGAGUCCUAAGUUGCAAACCAAUUUCAAGUUGCAGCUUGGAGCUAAUUUUUCUCUUCUUUUAGGCUCAGGUUGCAUGUCUCUCUUGGCUAAAUGGGCCUAAAAUUCACAGCCAUGCUUUCGCCUUCCUGUUUUUACGAAAUGCAAACUUGUUCAUGACUUAUUGCAACUUAAAGCGUAAUUGCCUUCAUGUAAAAUAUAAUAUUAAGGGUUAAUUAUCUGUGGGUAACACUUGUUUUGAUAUAUUAUAAAAGGAUUAUACAUAUUUUAAAAAUACUCGAUUAGGUGAUAAUCCGUUAAGUGUUACUAUUAAUUCUAAUGGAAGUGGUAAAUCAGUUAGGAAAUGACGUGUUUGUUUCUACUCAUUGAUUUUUAAUUUUUUUCAAUAGAAAAAUAUAUAAAAUUAAAUGUAAAUCUUAAGUUGAAUUCAUUAACAAGACUUUUUUUAAAAGAUAAAUCAAUUUUUUUGAAAAAAAAUUAUUGUUGAAUCAAACUCAUUUUUAACAUAAUAAAAGGCAAUCUCUCAUGAAUCAAGAUAAAUCUAUGUUGCGUUUACUAAACUGAAAUAAAAAUGAGUUAGAAUCGGAAUGGAUAGGAAUGUGAAUGGGCUGAAAUGAGAAUAGGGAAUGGGAAUCAUAAUAAGUUAUUUGCUUGAAGUGUAGAAAUCGAAAUCGGAAUGAGCUGAAUUGUCAUAAAUGUGUUUACUUUGUCUUGGAAUCGGAAUCGGAAUCGGAAUGAGUUAGAUUGUAACAAUUUAUUAAAAAGCACUUAAUGAAUUAUUUAUUAUCUUUUAUGAUUUUGAGUGUGUAUUUAUUGAUGAGAAUAUUUGGUCAAUGUGAUCAAGAAAGUGUUAAAUGGCGACAUGAAAGUGUAUGAAAUAUGCAUUUGAUUGGCUUAGGCUUGACAAGUGUGUAGUCUGUUGACUAAAUGAUGACAUUAUGAGUUAACAUCUUCGUUCUCAAGGAAGUUGGAUUUUAAUUGGGUUUUGGGAUCACUAACAGUCCCAUCAAAUUAGGGGACUUAGUGGAAAGUGACACUGUGGCUCUUCUGCGAACUCAAAACAAAGCUACCUUUUUCUCUCUUAAAAAAUGGAAAAUUUCAUCAAGUUCUCUCGGACGUUUGAUUGUACUAUUAUUCUAUUACACAAUAGAUUAUUUUAAAUAUGUACAAUUAAUUAUUACUAUUGUUUAUGAUAUCAUCAUUAGGGCACGAUGUGAGAUGCGAGAUUGUGAUGCUUGUUGUACAAACACCUCAUGAUGAGAACACAAUUCUGAUCGCCCAAGAACUACCCUUGGACCCCUAACGAGCCCAGAUAAACCAAGCCAGCUCAUUUUGACUGUAUUAUCCAUUUAUUCUUCAUUAUUUAAGCUAAAAGGAAGGGGCUUGUAGUGGUAGCACGUGUAGGAGUGAAUUUCUGAAAAUUUGAAUGGAAACAAUUAUAGAAAAGUUAAUUUUAUUUACCUCAUCAAUGAAAAAAUAAAUCAAUGUUUUUAGUACAAAUAAUUCUUUCGCCUCUCUCGAACAUAUGACAACAAUUCAUUAAACAGUGUAUAUAACACAUAUGGAGUAUCGAACACGUUCUCCCGUUUAAUAAUUGAAGUUGAGAUGAAUGGGAAAUGAAACCCCUCCAUUGCCAACAAAAAUAGUAUGCUCCCCAGCCGGCAGAAGGGUAUUUGCAGCAUAAUCCACGAUAUUUAAGCUCUUGCAAGCAUUAAACACAAAUUUAAUCCUCUUAUUCCGUCCGGCCCUCACAAAAACCCUUUGGAAACCGAUGACUUGCUUGAUAUAAGUUGCAGCUAUUUCUGCAGGGGGCUUGGAGUACACAAUGACAACAUCACUGCCAUCUGUGCUGCCAACAUUUUGAAAGUCAACUUUGAACUCAAAAUAAUCAUCGCAUCUCAGGUCAUUGACCAGAACACCAGGACACCGGGUCUUGGAGGCAUCACUCGUAUAGUUUAGAUUGCGACAAUGUUGAAGUUUGUUCAAAUUUACUUGAAUUGUCUUCGUAAAGGAAAGUAGAUUGUAUUUGAAUUGCGUAUAGCUGAGGCCGUAUCCGAAUGGAUACAGUGUUGGGCCGUUGUAGAAUUUAUAUGUUCUUCCCGGAUAACCUAAGCUAUCAACAGGCCUCAAUGGCAUGGAAGUCAAUGGUAGCAUCUGGACGUAAUCACCAUUAUACCAGGUUAUGGGCAAUCUUCCACCUGAAAGCAAUAUCAUCAUUUCUUUGUUAUACCGAAAGCAUACAUACAAAUUAAAAUCGAAUUAAUCCAUAUUCCCCUGUAAAUAUAUACUUACCAGGAUUGAAUUUACCGAAGACAACAUCAGCAAUGGCACGGCCACCUUCCUCUCCAGGAUAGCCAGCCCAUAAAAUAGCUUUGAUGUUAGUGUUAGUCUCAGCAAAGGCGAUAUCGACGCCACCGGCAGACAUGAUUACGAGAAUGACCGGACCUUUGGCAACUUCAGCAACCUGGUUGAUAAGCUGAGUUUGGUAUCCAGGAAGCCAGAGAUCUUCCCUGUCCAAGCUCUCUGCCUCAACUGACAAAUCCAAGCCUGCCAAAAUUAUUGUGGCAUCCGCGGUCUUUGCGGCUUCUGACGCAGCAAAUAUGGAGUUAUUGCUCUUGCAGGCAACGUCAUCACAUCCCGUCUUGUAGGUCACGUUUGCAUACCCAGAGAAGCCAGCAAUUGGAGACAUGUAUCGACACGGAAUACCUACAACAAAUUAACAUGUCGUAUAUAAUUAGUUUUUGAAAACUAAAGAGUAACGAGCAAAUGUAUCUCCUUUAUUUAGAUUGCGGUUUGGUGGUAUUCAACGAAUGUACCUGCGUAAUUUCCAAUCAUGGCUACAGUAGCAUUGGCGUGUGGCCCCACAACUGCGACUGUUUUGACCUUGGCAGAGUUCAAAGGCAGAGUGUUCUGAUCAUUCUUUAAAAGAACAAUUCCUUCUCUGGCUGCUUCUGCGGCUAACUCUAUAUUUUCAUCCGAGCAAAUAUCUUGUUUGCCAAGAGAUACAUACUGAGGGCUUCCAUCGAAGAAUCCUAGCCUCAUUAGAACGGUGUAAAGGUACUUGAGAGAUUUAUCUAUAUCUGUUUCCUUCACCUUCCCUUGUUGCACUGCAUUUCCAGUGAAGUUUGUGUAGUAUUGUCCACAGUCCAAAUCCAAUCCUAAGACAAAAUAAAACCGUGCAUAAACUCCAUUCAUUAAUUAUAAAACCAAAGCAGCAGCAAUAUGUUUCGGAAAUCUAAAAACUAACCAGCUUUUAGUGUUUGGGCAACAGCAUCUUCUUUCGAAUCAGCUAGAAAUUUGUGGUUAUCAACCAUAACUUGGAUUGAAUCACAGUCUGCCACUAUGUAUCUGAAAAAAAAAAAAAAAGAGUUCAAUAGUUAUAAAAUAAUAGUUAGCAACUAUAAUUUAUUUUCGGUUAAAAAGUUAUUCAUUAUUGAAUUAUAUUAUAAAAGAAUAUUAAUUGUACCCGUGAAGAUCCCAUUCUCCCCUAACAGUUUGAUUUAAGAGCUUUGGGUCAGCACAGGAAGGUAUGCCAUUGACACGGUUAUAAGAGCACAUAACACUGCUAGCGUCGCCUUCUUUGACACACAUUUCAAAUGGUCUAAGGAAAGUUUCCUCCAUAUCUUGCUCGGUCACCUUAAUUUAAAAUCCAAGAAAUUGUUAGAAAUUUAAUUUGAGUUGUAUCUCACACUCCGUAGCUUAGUUAAUUUUUCGUCAUUAGAUUUGGAGGUACUAACCCUUGCAUCAAAAUGAUAACGAUCAACUCCCUUCCAAUUAUCAACAUCAUAGGCAGCAUAAUGCUUGCAGCACGAUGAAACUUUUAAAGGUCUAGAGUUCAAAUCCGUAGCAUUUUCAUGUCCCUCGACGUCUUGUAAGCCCCUAACAUAGUUGACUGCAUAUCUUCCAACAACAAAAGGAUCUUCGCCGGGCGUCUCAGUGAUUCUUCCCCACCUUGGAUCCCUCGCUACAUUAAUGUUUGGACUCCAAUAUGUUAAUCCAGCUCGCCCUAGAUUGUACAUCGCUCGUGCUUCUGUUGAAACGGCCUACAACAAUAAAGAGUGAGUUUUUAGUUUAAUGAAUGCUUUCUUAACGAGGAUUUUCGUACUUUAUUAAGAUCUGAAAAAGACUUUUACACACUUUAAUGAAGUGCAAGAACCACUUAUUAAAAUGUUUCGAUUAAUUUAAUUAUCCACGACAUGCUAACAAAAAUAAAUAAAAUGGCGCGUGAGAUCAAAUACCUGGCCUAUCUUUUUCCACAAUGACUCAUUGAAUGAAGCUGUUGUGAGGAUAACAGUGGGAAAACUUGUUGCUCCAGGAAUUACAUCAUCGAAAUGAGUGCCAGGACCGACAUUAGACACUCCAUGCAGUGCUUCGGACCACCACUCGUACUGCGGAAGCCCCAACCUUGGGACGCCGUGAGCAAAAUCUCCGAGUUGCUGCACUUUUUCGUCAAGGGUCAUUCGGCUCACCAAGUCCUUCACUCUUAUGGAGUAGGGUAAAGAUGAGUCACAGAAGAGAAAGCUUGACAUUUGCAGUCCAAGUUUAGAGAACCGACCGGGGUCACAAACGAAGACAGGGCUACUGCUGCCAUUCGCAUCAACAGCGUUUGUAGAGAAGACAAGUAAAGCAAUGGAGAGACUGAAGCAUAGGAGAGAACUAACUACUUUGGCCAUCGUUCUUAUUCUUAGUCUUUGAGAAAGAAGCUUGUAGCUAUGAAGCAGUUUAUGAAGCUGCCUAUCUUUUUAUAAGCAAUUAAUUAUGCGCUUUUGAGUUCAUCUCAAAGGUUAUUAUCUUUGACUAGCUAGAUUGCUGUUAUAAAAUUACAGUUUCACGGUUUGUAAAGAUAAUGUGAACCACUAAAUCUCUAUUUAGUUUAUGACAACAAACUUAUUGCUAAAUUUUUUUCUAAUGCUUGAUUAAUCAUGGGUGACAACUAAAGCUUGCUGUGCUCGAUAUGGAUGAAUGCAAGGAGGUUUUAAGAACAAUAUAAACGAUUUGUUGUUUCAAGUUUCAACCCAUUUGAUUGUUUUUUAUCCAAUUCUCACAAACUGUCGCUAAUUAAUGGCGAUUGAUUUAGCCAAUUAGCCAAACAAUAAUAAAUUUAUAGUUAUGUUAUCUCGUUCAAAUUUAUUCUAGACCGGUUUAUUAUUUUUAGUUGGACAUUGUGAGUACAUUUAUGUAAAAUUCGUUAAUGAUUACUGAAGAUAUUUGGGAAAGAUGGGGAUCCUUUGACUGGUUAAAAUUUAUUGGAACCUAAAUAUUCAUUUAUUCAUUGAUUCCAUACAAUCCAUUUAGAAAAAAGAUUUUACAAAACGAUAUUAUCUUAAUUAGGUUACAGAAUUUGAUAAAACAUAUGAAAUAUUCAAUAUCCAAGUAGUUAUGAAAAAUUUUGUCACCUAUUUUUUUAUAUAUGAAAGUAAAAUUGUUGAAAGAAAAUACCGUUUUAAGUUGUUAAUUCAUCUAUUGUACUGAUGGUUCAUUAUUAAUUGUGUCACCAUCUAAAUAAAAAUAUAAGAUAUUUACCUCAUUUAGAAGAAUUAAAAACAUUCCAAAAUACUGAAUGCUAGAAUCGAAAUCUCUUUAGAGCUGCAACUAAAAUUUAUGUUUAUUGUAGUAAGGCAAAAUUCCUUGUGCCUGCUCUAGUUUAUGUUGAAUUGUUGAAAACGACACACACCACCAACUAAUUAAUUAUCUCAAUACAACCUAUUAGGAUUUGCUUAUGUAAGCUUAUUAUCAACUUUGAACUUGUAAUAGAGCUACUAAUUGGAAUUUGGAAUCAAACCUCGUCGAUUCAUGAAAUAGUUUUAAUCUUUCGAAUUAACUAAUUAAUAUUAACUUCUUCUUUUUUUAUAAUUAAUUUAUGAAAUGGAGUCUUAGACUUAUCUUUUUCAUAAGAAAAAAGGGAAAGAAACUAGAUAUAUUAAUUUGUUCAAAGGAUUACAACCAAAUUGAUCGGCUGAAACGGAAUCCACAUUAAUCCACGACCUAAUUUUCCUGAUUUUCAUAUUCAAAUUAACUAACUAAAACAAAAUUGUUUGGCUAAGGGUGCGUUUGGGAUUGAGGUUGGGCAGCUGUAGCUUAAAAGCUAAAGCACUAAAGUGUUUGGUAAACACUAGCUGCUGUAGCUUUUAAGCUAUGUUGAUAUGAUUUUUCACUUGUAUAAUACAAAAUUUAUUAUAUCUUUAAUAAUUUUAUCAAAAUUAUUAUUUAAAAUUUAUAUUUACUAUAUAUUAUUAACUUUUGUUUCAUAAUUACAGCUUUUUUUUCACAGCAGCUGUAGCUUAAAAGCUACAGCACCUCAAUCCCAAAUGCACCCUAAAUCAAUCGGCAUUAAUUUGCGACAUUUUAGGAGAUUUGGAUAAAAGAAACCAUCAAAUGGGUUGAAACUUGAAACGACAAAUCGUUUAUUGUUCGUAAACUUUCCAUGCAUUCAUCCGCACUUGAGCACAGCGAAGUAGAGUUGUCAUGCGUUACUGUAAUCAAGUAUUCGACAAAAUUUAACAAAUAUGUUUGCUGUUAUAAACUAAAAGGAAAGUGAGUGGUUCACAUUCUCUUCUACAAUAGUAACUUCAUAACAGUAAUCUAGCUAGUCAGAGAUAAUAGCCAAUCACAUCAGCCAAAGGGUGCAAAAAUCACUUAUAAAAGCACACAGCUGCCUCAUAAUUUUUCCAUAGCUAAAAUCUAUAGCUUCCUUCUCAAAGAAUAAGUAGAGGAUAUGAUGGCCAAAGUAGUUAGUUCUCUCCUAUGCUUCAGUCUCUAAAAAAAAAAAAAGAGUUCAAUAGUUAUAAAAUAAUAGUUAGCAACUAUAAUUUAUUUUCGGUUAAAAAGUUAUUCAUUAUUGAAUUAUAUUAUAAAAGAAUAUUAAUUGUACCCGUGAAGAUCCCAUUCUCCCCUAACAGUUUGAUUUAAGAGCUUUGGGUCAGCACAGGAAGGUAUGCCAUUGACACGGUUAUAAGAGCACAUAACACUGCUAGCGUCGCCUUCUUUGACACACAUUUCAAAUGGUCUAAGGAAAGUUUCCUCCAUAUCUUGCUCGGUCACCUUAAUUUAAAAUCCAAGAAAUUGUUAGAAAUUUAAUUUGAGUUGUAUCUCACACUCCGUAGCUUAGUUAAUUUUUCGUCAUUAGAUUUGGAGGUACUAACCCUUGCAUCAAAAUGAUAACGAUCAACUCCCUUCCAAUUAUCAACAUCAUAGGCAGCAUAAUGCUUGCAGCACGAUGAAACUUUUAAAGGUCUAGAGUUCAAAUCCGUAGCAUUUUCAUGUCCCUCGACGUCUUGUAAGCCCCUAACAUAGUUGACUGCAUAUCUUCCAACAACAAAAGGAUCUUCGCCGGGCGUCUCAGUGAUUCUUCCCCACCUUGGAUCCCUCGCUACAUUAAUGUUUGGACUCCAAUAUGUUAAUCCAGCUCGCCCUAGAUUGUACAUCGCUCGUGCUUCUGUUGAAACGGCCUACAACAAUAAAGAGUGAGUUUUUAGUUUAAUGAAUGCUUUCUUAACGAGGAUUUUCGUACUUUAUUAAGAUCUGAAAAAGACUUUUACACACUUUAAUGAAGUGCAAGAACCACUUAUUAAAAUGUUUCGAUUAAUUUAAUUAUCCACGACAUGCUAACAAAAAUAAAUAAAAUGGCGCGUGAGAUCAAAUACCUGGCCUAUCUUUUUCCACAAUGACUCAUUGAAUGAAGCUGUUGUGAGGAUAACAGUGGGAAAACUUGUUGCUCCAGGAAUUACAUCAUCGAAAUGAGUGCCAGGACCGACAUUAGACACUCCAUGCAGUGCUUCGGACCACCACUCGUACUGCGGAAGCCCCAACCUUGGGACGCCGUGAGCAAAAUCUCCGAGUUGCUGCACUUUUUCGUCAAGGGUCAUUCGGCUCACCAAGUCCUUCACUCUUAUGGAGUAGGGUAAAGAUGAGUCACAGAAGAGAAAGCUUGACAUUUGCAGUCCAAGUUUAGAGAACCGACCGGGGUCACAAACGAAGACAGGGCUACUGCUGCCAUUCGCAUCAACAGCGUUUGUAGAGAAGACAAGUAAAGCAAUGGAGAGACUGAAGCAUAGGAGAGAACUAACUACUUUGGCCAUCAUAUCCUCUACUUAUUCUUUGAGAAGGAAGCUAUAGAUUUUAGCUAUGGAAAAAUUAUGAGGCAGCUGUGUGCUUUUAUAAGUGAUUUUUGCACCCUUUGGCUGAUGUGAUUGGCUAUUAUCUCUGACUAGCUAGAUUACUGUUAUGAAGUUACUAUUGUAGAAGAGAAUGUGAACCACUCACUUUCCUUUUAGUUUAUAACAGCAAACAUAUUUGUUAAAUUUUGUCGAAUACUUGAUUACAGUAACGCAUGACAACUCUACUUCGCUGUGCUCAAGUGCGGAUGAAUGCAUGGAAAGUUUACGAACAAUAAACGAUUUGUCGUUUCAAGUUUCAACCCAUUUGAUGGUUUCUUUUAUCCAAAUCUCCUAAAAUGUCGCAAAUUAAUGCCGAUUGAUUUAGGGUGCAUUUGGGAUUGAGGUGCUGUAGCUUUUAAGCUACAGCUGCUGUGAAAAAAAAGCUGUAAUUAUGAAACAAAAGUUAAUAAUAUAUAGUAAAUAUAAAUUUUAAAUAAUAAUUUUGAUAAAAUUAUUAAAGAUAUAAUAAAUUUUGUAUUAUACAAGUGAAAAAUCAUAUCAACAUAGCUUAAAAGCUACAGCAGCUAGUGUUUACCAAACACUUUAGUGCUUUAGCUUUUAAGCUACAGCUGCCCAACCUCAAUCCCAAACGCACCCUUAGCCAAACAAUUUUGUUUUAGUUAGUUAAUUUGAAUAUGAAAAUCAGGAAAAUUAGGUCGUGGAUUAAUGUGGAUUCCGUUUCAGCCGAUCAAUUUGGUUGUAAUCCUUUGAACAAAUUAAUAUAUCUAGUUUCUUUCCCUUUUUUCUUAUGAAAAAGAUAAGUCUAAGACUCCAUUUCAUAAAUUAAUUAUAAAAAAAGAAGAAGUUAAUAUUAAUUAGUUAAUUCGAAAGAUUAAAACUAUUUCAUGAAUCGACGAGGUUUGAUUCCAAAUUCCAAUUAGUAGCUCUAUUACAAGUUCAAAGUUGAUAAUAAGCUUACAUAAGCAAAUCCUAAUAGGUUGUAUUGAGAUAAUUAAUUAGUUGGUGGUGUGUGUCGUUUUCAACAAUUCAACAUAAACUAGAGCAGGCACAAGGAAUUUUGCCUUACUACAAUAAACAUAAAUUUUAGUUGCAGCUCUAAAGAGAUUUCGAUUCUAGCAUUCAGUAUUUUGGAAUGUUUUUAAUUCUUCUAAAUGAGGUAAAUAUCUUAUAUUUUUAUUUAGAUGGUGACACAAUUAAUAAUGAACCAUCAGUACAAUAGAUGAAUUAACAACUUAAAACGGUAUUUUCUUUCAACAAUUUUACUUUCAUAUAUAAAAAAAUAGGUGACAAAAUUUUUCAUAACUACUUGGAUAUUGAAUAUUUCAUAUGUUUUAUCAAAUUCUGUAACCUAAUUAAGAUAAUAUCGUUUUGUAAAAUCUUUUUUCUAAAUGGAUUGUAUGGAAUCAAUGAAUAAAUGAAUAUUUAGGUUCCAAUAAAUUUUAACCAGUCAAAGGAUCCCCAUCUUUCCCAAAUAUCUUCAGUAAUCAUUAACGAAUUUUACAUAAAUGUACUCACAAUGUCCAACUAAAAAUAAUAAACCGGUCUAGAAUAAAUUUGAACGAGAUAACAUAACUAUAAAUUUAUUAUUGUUUGGCUAAUUGGCUAAAUCAAUCGCCAUUAAUUAGCGACAGUUUGUGAGAAUUGGAUAAAAAACAAUCAAAUGGGUUGAAACUUGAAACAACAAAUCGUUUAUAUUGUUCUUAAAACCUCCUUGCAUUCAUCCAUAUCGAGCACAGCAAGCUUUAGUUGUCACCCAUGAUUAAUCAAGCAUUAGAAAAAAAUUUAGCAAUAAGUUUGUUGUCAUAAACUAAAUAGAGAUUUAGUGGUUCACAUUAUCUUUACAAACCGUGAAACUGUAAUUUUAUAACAGCAAUCUAGCUAGUCAAAGAUAAUAACCUUUGAGAUGAACUCAAAAGCGCAUAAUUAAUUGCUUAUAAAAAGAUAGGCAGCUUCAUAAACUGCUUCAUAGCUACAAGCUUCUUUCUCAAAGACUAAGAAUAAGAACGAUGGCCAAAGUAGUUAGUUCUCUCCUAUGCUUCAGUCUCUCCAUUGCUUUACUUGUCUUCUCUACAAACGCUGUUGAUGCGAAUGGCAGCAGUAGCCCUGUCUUCGUUUGUGACCCCGGUCGGUUCUCUAAACUUGGACUGCAAAUGUCAAGCUUUCUCUUCUGUGACUCAUCUUUACCCUACUCCAUAAGAGUGAAGGACUUGGUGAGCCGAAUGACCCUUGACGAAAAAGUGCAGCAACUCGGAGAUUUUGCUCACGGCGUCCCAAGGUUGGGGCUUCCGCAGUACGAGUGGUGGUCCGAAGCACUGCAUGGAGUGUCUAAUGUCGGUCCUGGCACUCAUUUCGAUGAUGUAAUUCCUGGAGCAACAAGUUUUCCCACUGUUAUCCUCACAACAGCUUCAUUCAAUGAGUCAUUGUGGAAAAAGAUAGGCCAGGUAUUUGAUCUCACGCGCCAUUUUAUUUAUUUUUGUUAGCAUGUCGUGGAUAAUUAAAUUAAUCGAAACAUUUUAAUAAGUGGUUCUUGCACUUCAUUAAAGUGUGUAAAAGUCUUUUUCAGAUCUUAAUAAAGUACGAAAAUCCUCGUUAAGAAAGCAUUCAUUAAACUAAAAACUCACUCUUUAUUGUUGUAGGCCGUUUCAACAGAAGCACGAGCGAUGUACAAUCUAGGGCGAGCUGGAUUAACAUAUUGGAGUCCAAACAUUAAUGUAGCGAGGGAUCCAAGGUGGGGAAGAAUCACUGAGACGCCCGGCGAAGAUCCUUUUGUUGUUGGAAGAUAUGCAGUCAACUAUGUUAGGCUGCUGUACGGCCAAGGCGGAUGUACGGUACAGCAGGCUGUAGCUUUUAAGCUACAGCUGCUGUGAAAAAAAAAUUAUAAUUAUAAAACAAAAGUUAAUAAUAUAUAAUAAAUAUAAAUUUUAAAUAAUAAUUUUAAUAAAAUUAUUAAAGAUAUAAUAAAUUUUAUAUUAUACAAGUGAAAAAUCAUAUCAACAUAGUUUAAAAGCUACAGCAGCUAGUGUUUACCAAACACUUUAGUGCUGUAGCUUUUAAGCUACAGCUGCCCAACCUCAAUCCCAAACGCACCCUUAGCCAAACAAUUUUGUUUUAGUUAGUUAAUUUGAAUAUGAAAAUCAGGAAAAUUAGGUCGUGGAUUAAUGUGGAUUCCGUUUCAGCCGAUCAAUUUGGUUGUAAUCCUUUGAACAAAUUAAUAUAUCUAGUUUCUUUCCCUUUUUUCUUAUGAAAAAGAUAAGUCUAAGACUCCAUUUCAUAAAUUAAUUAUAAAAAAAGAAGAAGUUAAUAUUAAUUAGUUAAUUCGAAAGAUUAAAACUAUUUCAUGAAUCGACGAGGUUUGAUUCCAAAUUCCAAUUAGUAGCUCUAUUACAAGUUCAAAGUUGAUAAUAAGCUUACAUAAGCAAAUCCUAAUAGGUUGUAUUGAGAUAAUUAAUUAGUUGGUGGUGUGUGUCGUUUUCAACAAUUCAACAUAAACUAGAGCAGGCACAAGGAAUUUUGCCUUACUACAAUAAACAUAAAUUUUAGUUGCAGCUCUAAAGAGAUUUCGAUUCUAGCAUUCAGUAUUUUGGAAUGUUUUUAAUUCUUCUAAAUGAGGUAAAUAUCUUAUAUUUUUAUUUAGAUGGUGACACAAUUAAUAAUGAACCAUCAGUACAAUAGAUGAAUUAACAACUUAAAACGGUAUUUUCUUUCAACAAUUUUACUUUCAUAUAUAAAAAAAUAGGUGACAAAAUUUUUCAUAACUACUUGGAUAUUGAAUAUUUCAUAUGUUUUAUCAAAUUCUGUAACCUAAUUAAGAUAAUAUCGUUUUGUAAAAUCUUUUUUCUAAAUGGAUUGUAUGGAAUCAAUGAAUAAAUGAAUAUUUAGGUUCCAAUAAAUUUUAACCAGUCAAAGGAUCCCCAUCUUUCCCAAAUAUCUUCAGUAAUCAUUAACGAAUUUUACAUAAAUGUACUCACAAUGUCCAACUAAAAAUAAUAAACCGGUCUAGAAUAAAUUUGAACGAGAUAACAUAACUAUAAAUUUAUUAUUGUUUGGCUAAUUGGCUAAAUCAAUCGCCAUUAAUUAGCGACAGUUUGUGAGAAUUGGAUAAAAAACAAUCAAAUGGGUUGAAACUUGAAACAACAAAUCGUUUAUAUUGUUCUUAAAACCUCCUUGCAUUCAUCCAUAUCGAGCACAGCAAGCUUUAGUUGUCACCCAUGAUUAAUCAAGCAUUAGAAAAAAAUUUAGCAAUAAGUUUGUUGUCAUAAACUAAAUAGAGAUUUAGUGGUUCACAUUAUCUUUACAAACCGUGAAACUGUAAUUUUAUAACAGCAAUCUAGCUAGUCAAAGAUAAUAACCUUUGAGAUGAACUCAAAAGCGCAUAAUUAAUUGCUUAUAAAAAGAUAGGCAGCUUCAUAAACUGCUUCAUAGCUACAAGCUUCUUUCUCAAAGACUAAGAAUAAGAACGAUGGCCAAAGUAGUUAGUUCUCUCCUAUGCUUCAGUCUCUCCAUUGCUUUACUUGUCUUCUCUACAAACGCUGUUGAUGCGAAUGGCAGCAGUAGCCCUGUCUUCGUUUGUGACCCCGGUCGGUUCUCUAAACUUGGACUGCAAAUGUCAAGCUUUCUCUUCUGUGACUCAUCUUUACCCUACUCCAUAAGAGUGAAGGACUUGGUGAGCCGAAUGACCCUUGACGAAAAAGUGCAGCAACUCGGAGAUUUUGCUCACGGCGUCCCAAGGUUGGGGCUUCCGCAGUACGAGUGGUGGUCCGAAGCACUGCAUGGAGUGUCUAAUGUCGGUCCUGGCACUCAUUUCGAUGAUGUAAUUCCUGGAGCAACAAGUUUUCCCACUGUUAUCCUCACAACAGCUUCAUUCAAUGAGUCAUUGUGGAAAAAGAUAGGCCAGGUAUUUGAUCUCACGCGCCAUUUUAUUUAUUUUUGUUAGCAUGUCGUGGAUAAUUAAAUUAAUCGAAACAUUUUAAUAAGUGGUUCUUGCACUUCAUUAAAGUGUGUAAAAGUCUUUUUCAGAUCUUAAUAAAGUACGAAAAUCCUCGUUAAGAAAGCAUUCAUUAAACUAAAAACUCACUCUUUAUUGUUGUAGGCCGUUUCAACAGAAGCACGAGCGAUGUACAAUCUAGGGCGAGCUGGAUUAACAUAUUGGAGUCCAAACAUUAAUGUAGCGAGGGAUCCAAGGUGGGGAAGAAUCACUGAGACGCCCGGCGAAGAUCCUUUUGUUGUUGGAAGAUAUGCAGUCAACUAUGUUAGGCUGCUGUACGGCCAAGGCGGAUGUACGGUACAGCAGGCUGUAGCUUUUAAGCUACAGCUGCUGUGAAAAAAAAAUUAUAAUUAUAAAACAAAAGUUAAUAAUAUAUAAUAAAUAUAAAUUUUAAAUAAUAAUUUUAAUAAAAUUAUUAAAGAUAUAAUAAAUUUUAUAUUAUACAAGUGAAAAAUCAUAUCAACAUAGUUUAAAAGCUACAGCAGCUAGUGUUUACCAAACACUUUAGUGCUGUAGCUUUUAAGCUACAGCUGCCCAACCUCAAUCCCAAACGCACCCUUAGCCAAACAAUUUUGUUUUAGUUAGUUAAUUUGAAUAUGAAAAUCAGGAAAAUUAGGUCGUGGAUUAAUGUGGAUUCCGUUUCAGCCGAUCAAUUUGGUUGUAAUCCUUUGAACAAAUUAAUAUAUCUAGUUUCUUUCCCUUUUUUCUUAUGAAAAAGAUAAGUCUAAGACUCCAUUUCAUAAAUUAAUUAUAAAAAAAGAAGAAGUUAAUAUUAAUUAGUUAAUUCGAAAGAUUAAAACUAUUUCAUGAAUCGACGAGGUUUGAUUCCAAAUUCCAAUUAGUAGCUCUGGUUUCAUUUCCCAUUCAUCUCAACUUCAAUUAUUAAACGGGAGAACGUGUUCGAUACUCCAUAUGUGUUAUAUACACUGUUUAAUGAAUUGUUGUCAUAUGUUCGAGAGAGGCGAAAGAAUUAUUUGUACUAAAAACAUUGAUUUAUUUUUUCAUUGAUGAGGUAAAUAAAAUUAACUUUUCUAUAAUUGUUUCCAUUCAAAUUUUCAGAAAUUCACUCCUACACGUGCUACCACUACAAGCCCCUUCCUUUUAGCUUAAAUAAUGAAGAAUAAAUGGAUAAUACAGUCAAAAUGAGCUGGCUUGGUUUAUCUGGGCUCGUUAGGGGUCCAAGGGUAGUUCUUGGGCGAUCAGAAUUGUGUUCUCAUCAUGAGGUGUUUGUACAACAAGCAUCACAAUCUCGCAUCUCACAUCGUGCCCUAAUGAUGAUAUCAUAAACAAUAGUAAUAAUUAAUUGUACAUAUUUAAAAUAAUCUAUUGUGUAAUAGAAUAAUAGUACAAUCAAACGUCCGAGAGAACUUGAUGAAAUUUUCCAUUUUUUAAGAGAGAAAAAGGUAGCUUUGUUUUGAGUUCGCAGAAGAGCCACAGUGUCACUUUCCACUAAGUCCCCUAAUUUGAUGGGACUGUUAGUGAUCCCAAAACCCAAUUAAAAUCCAACUUCCUUGAGAACGAAGAUGUUAACUCAUAAUGUCAUCAUUUAGUCAACAGACUACACACUUGUCAAGCCUAAGCCAAUCAAAUGCAUAUUUCAUACACUUUCAUGUCGCCAUUUAACACUUUCUUGAUCACAUUGACCAAAUAUUCUCAUCAAUAAAUACACACUCAAAAUCAUAAAAGAUAAUACUACUCAACAAUAUUGAAUAAUGCAACUCAGUAAUUGCAGCCAUGGCCAGAAAAACAAUGUUCCUCUUUAUUUUCUUUUGUUUUCUUUUGAUUCUCCUCCCCCUCUCAGCUUCUGCAGAAUGCAAGUGUGAUCUCACUGAAACCAUCGGCGGCAGUGGCCACAAAAACAAAGCUUUGAAAUUGAAAAUCGUUGCGAUUCUAUCAAUCCUGAUUGCGGGUGCUUUCGGUGUUUCAAUUCCAAGCUUUGGAAAAAACAUCUCAACUUUUCAUCCUGAGAACAAUAUUUUCUUCAUAAUCAAAGCCUUCGCCGCCGGCGUGAUUCUUGCCACAGGCUUUGUCCACAUACUGCCUGAUGCGUAUGAGAGUCUAACAAGUCCAUGCUUAAGCCCAAAACCAUGGCAGGAUUUCCCUUUCACCGGGUUUGUGGCAAUGGUUUCCGCGAUUUUGACUAUGAUGGUUGAUGCAUUUGCCACAUCUUUUUAUCAACGUUUGCAUUUUAGUAAGGCUUUGCCUGUUAAUGAUGAUGACAAGGAGAUGCAUGCAGAGCAUGAAGGUCAUGUUCAUGUACAUACACAUGCCACGCACGGCCAUGCUCAUGGCUCUGCUUUUGCAUCGUCGGAUGCUUCUGGUUCUGGGACUUCUGAUCUUUUCCGACACCGAAUUGUAUCACAGGUAUCAAUUGAUGUGAGUUGAUAGUUUACUUUCCCCUUUGUUUUCUAUUACACCAUUCUGAUGGUGAGAAAAAAAAAACAAAUAAAUCCUCAAAUAUUUUAUUUUAAUUAAACUAUCUAAUUCUUUUCCAAAAAAAAAAACUAAACUAUCUAAUCGAAGAAGCAAUUUCCAGAGAUGACAAAACUUGUAACAAGUACUUCUGAUAAUUUAUCGCGCCGCUUGUGUUUGCGCAUGUUCCAGAAGUUGACUGACUAACUUGUAAGUACGUCCUGAAAGUCCUUUGGUGUGGUCAAUCAAUUGCACGUACACGUUGGGCUAGGUGGGUUCCAUGAUAACAGUUCCUGACUUUGCAUCAAUCUUGGCAUCAGGUUUUGAGUUGCGAAUAAGAUUCAGAAAGUCAGUUUUGCAGAAAGCAUUAUCUGUGAAGUCAGUUUUGCAGAAAGCAUUAUCUGUGACACUACUGAUAUGCUUUCUGAUACAAAGAUGGGUCGAUGUUUUCUGGUACUGAUAUGACAUUAGUUGGAAAAUGGAACUGUGUUUACUGUUUGUAUCAUGUGGGUAGUGCAAAAAAUAGGAUAAAGGCAUUUACAGUGUGGGGCUAUCUUGCCUUUAUCUUCAUUUGAAUUAUAUUUCAUUUGAAUUAUAUUUAAAGCAUAUAUGGUGAAGAUACUACACUAUAUCUAUCUGUUCGUUGAAAAGUUUGUUCACUAUUGCGAAGCCUUCAAUUCUCCUCCACGUAACAAAAUUGAAUGUUUUAUAGGUAUUAGAGUUGGGGAUAGUUGUGCAUUCGGUGAUCAUUGGGAUUUCACUGGGUGCUUCCGGAAGUGUAAAGACAAUCAAGCCCCUCGUAGCAGCACUAACUUUUCACCAGUUCUUUGAAGGCAUGGGCCUUGGUGGAUGCAUCUCUCAGGUACUCUCUACUCGUUAGUCACAAAUUUUAAAAUGUAAAAGCCAAGAACACAAAAUAUAAAGAGCAUUGAUGGUGUUGAUUUGUUUGUGGAAGCAGGCAAAGUUCAAGUCAAAAGCCGUAGCGGCAAUGAUACUUUUCUUUUCCCUGACCACUCCCGUCGGGAUUGGAAUUGGGAUUGGGAUAUCAAAAGUUUACAAAGAGAAUAGCCCAACAGCUCUUGUUAUUGAAGGCAUUUUCAACUCUGCUUCAGCUGGAAUCUUGAUCUAUAUGGCGCUUGUGGAUCUUCUUGCAACGGAUUUUAUGAGUCCUAAGUUGCAAACCAAUUUCAAGUUGCAGCUUGGAGCUAAUUUUUCUCUUCUUUUAGGCUCAGGUUGCAUGUCUCUCUUGGCUAAAUGGGCCUAAAAUUCACAGCCAUGCUUUCGCCUUCCUGUUUUUACGAAAUGCAAACUUGUUCAUGACUUAUUGCAACUUAAAGCGUAAUUGCCUUCAUGUAAAAUAUAAUAUUAAGGGUUAAUUAUCUGUGGGUAACACUUGUUUUGAUAUAUUAUAAAAGGAUUAUACAUAUUUUAAAAAUACUCGAUUAGGUGAUAAUCCGUUAAGUGUUACUAUUAAUUCUAAUGGAAGUGGUAAAUCAGUUAGGAAAUGACGUGUUUGUUUCUACUCAUUGAUUUUUAAUUUUUUUCAAUAGAAAAAUAUAUAAAAUUAAAUGUAAAUCUUAAGUUGAAUUCAUUAACAAGACUUUUUUUAAAAGAUAAAUCAAUUUUUUUGAAAAAAAAUUAUUGUUGAAUCAAACUCAUUUUUAACAUAAUAAAAGGCAAUCUCUCAUGAAUCAAGAUAAAUCUAUGUUGCGUUUACUAAACUGAAAUAAAAAUGAGUUAGAAUCGGAAUGGAUAGGAAUGUGAAUGGGCUGAAAUGAGAAUAGGGAAUGGGAAUCAUAAUAAGUUAUUUGCUUGAAGUGUAGAAAUCGAAAUCGGAAUGAGCUGAAUUGUCAUAAAUGUGUUUACUUUGUCUUGGAAUCGGAAUCGGAAUCGGAAUGAGUUAGAUUGUAACAAUUUAUUAAAAAGCACUUAAUGAAUUAUUGUCAUAAUUAUUAUUUUAUAUUUUAAUUAUAGUGAUUAUUUAUUCAAAAAUUAUUAUUAUUAUUAAUUAUUUUCAAUAAUAUUGAUAUAUUAAUUAAUAAUAUUAUUACUUAUUUAAUUAUAAUAAUAUAAUAAUUAUUGUGAUUAUUUAUUCAAAAACUAUAAUUAUUAAUAUAUUGUUGUUAAUAAUGUAUUAAUAUAUUAAUUAAUAGUAAUAAUUAUAUUAAUUAAUUAAUAAUAAUAAUAUGCGAAUUAAUUAUAAUAAUUAUAUUAAUGAUUAUUAUGAUAGUAUAUUUAUUAAUUAAUUAUAAUAAUAAAAAUACAUUAAUUAUUGUGAUUAUUUAUUCAAAAACUAUGAUUAUUAAUAUAUUAUUGUUAAUAAUGUAUUAAUAUAUUUAUUAAUAGUAAUAAUUAUAUAUAUUAAUUAAUAGUAAUAUUUAUUUCAAUUAAUUAAUGAUAAUAUAUGAAUUAAUUAUAAUAACUAUAUUAAUAAUUAUUAUAAUAGAAUAGUAAUUAAUUAAUUAUAAUAAUAAUAUAUUAAUUAUUGUGAUUAUUUAUUCAAAAAUUACAAUUAUUAAUAAUGUACCGAUAUACUAAUUAACUAUAAUAUACUAAUUAAUUAAUUAUAAUAGUAUAUUAAUUAAUUAUAUAUUUGGCUUUUUUAUUUUUAAUAAUUAUAUUUUUUGUUUAAAGGAGGGGCAUUUUAGGAAAUUUAAUAUGUCAAUGGGGCAAAAUGGGAACUCUAGGGAAUGGGAGAUUGAUUCCCACCCCCCCGUAGGAAUCAAUCUCCUAUUUCCCAUUCCUAAAUAGUUGUGGGCCCUACGAUUUCGAUUCCGAUUCCUACUCCAUUUUUACGAAGUAAAUGCCGUCAAUUAUUCCGAUUUUGGAUUUUGAUUCCCAAUGCGGGAAGUAAACACACCACUAAUGUUUUUAUUUCAUUAGCUCUAAUUUUGCAAAUGUUGGACUUGAUUCCUCAAGAAUCAGUUUGAGUCCGGUUUUAUGGCUUAGUAAGCAUUUGUUUUAACUUGCAAUUACUAUCGUGCUAUGAAUGUAGAGAAGAUGAAGCAUGUAGAUGGAGCACGGGAAAGACAAAGAAAGAAGGGGGGGGGGGGGGGGGGGAGGGAGAAAGAAAAGAAAAGAACAAAGAGAUAACAAACAAAAUGUGGAAGAUAAAUAAAUUUAUUUUUCUAAUGUUACCUUUGUGCUAUUAGAGUUAAUGACAAAAAUUAACUAAUUACCACUUGAUUGAAUGUUUUAAAAACAUGAGUCAUAUUUUAAAAACUAGAAAAUAGAACCGCACUUCACGCGGCUUUGAAAAAAGAAUUUAGUAUUAUCGUUUUUUUUUACUUUACACUUGAUGAAACUGAUAAAAAAUAUAAAUUGAUUUUUUUUUAAGAUAAGACAGCCUUAUAAAAAACAAAAAAAACUAUUAGCCAGCAAUACAAAUAAAGAAGUAACACAAUAUAAAUAAUAAAAUGAGAAAAUAUAUUAUAGAGUGAUUUUAUUCAUUCCAAUUGUGUGUGUACAAAACAAAAAGAUGAGCUCUCCUUUUAUAAUUACAUAAUCAUUUCAUGAAAUUAAUGAAAAAUUAUGGAUCAUAAUUUCUUGUGAGAUAGUGGGAGUUACAGGGAAGCUAAAGGUUGCUAAUGGGAGAUAGUGGGGAGACUAAGAGAUAUAUGUUAUGAACAUCUACAUUUAUUUUAAUAAAUUCAUAACACUCCCCCUUGGAUGUUCAUUACAAAGAAUAUGCCUCAUUAAAAUAUUUACAUAAUUGUUAUUGUGUAAUAACAAUCAAAUUAAUUAUGAGAAGAUGAAAAACCAAAUAUAAAAGAAAAUUCUCUAUUUAUUAGAUAAUAGAGAAUAUACAAAGAUGAGAAAUGGUGAUGCCACAUCACCUCCUCAAGCCCCAGCUUUAUAUAUAUACUAGAAAAUAGAACCGCGUUUUACGCGGCUUUGAAAAAAGAAUUUAGUAUUAUCUUUUUUUCUUACUUUAAUUUUAUUUGUGUAUUACAUUUAUAUAUGUGUGUGUGUGUGUGAUAUUUUAAUUGAGAGAAAGAGAUACAGUAUUAAAAAUAAUAACAUCUGCAUUUCCAUUCAAUGUUAAAAUGUUGUGAUAUCAAUAGUGAUAGGUGGACAAAAAUAAGUAUACCAUCAUUGAAAGACAGAAAAAUUAUUACAAAACAGAAAGAAAUUUUAUUACAGGACAAUUUUUUAUGGCAUGUAUUUGUUUGCCUUUUUUUUUUUGUACUCAUUUCAAUGCAUACGUCAUUACUCAUGUAACAUAUAUUUUAAUUGAGUAAAAUUAUUUAAUGGUCACGGUAUAUAUCCAUUUCCAUUAGAUUUUUUCUAUGGUCUGUUGGGAUUAUCCCACAUCGGUUGUAAAAGGAAUUGGUGGUGACUUCAUACGUGUGAUAAAAAGCCUCACCUCCCAAGUUAGUUUUUGAGGUUGAGAGAGGUACAAAACCACCUAACAUUGAUAUUAGAGCUUAGGUUUACCAACAUUUCAACAUAUAAUAUGUAUUUAUGCUUUUGACCCAAGACUCGAUGUGUGAGGCGUAGAUUGAUGGCGUUAUCCCACAUCAAUUGUGGAAGAGGCUGGUGGUGACUUAAUAAUUGUGAUGGAAAGCCUCAACUUCUAAAUUAGUUUUUGAGGUUGAGAGAGGACCAUGUAAUGGGAUUCGCUAAUCUGAUCUUCAUUUGGGUUUUUAUUGCUAUUUUGUUUAAUUUAAUUUUGUUUGUAGAUGAACAGAAGUUAGUUUAGCUCCAAGAAGUAAAGAUCUAAUAACACUCAUGUCAAAAGUUAAUUGUGUAUUGAUUUUUGUUCGUGAUUUUGUACAUACAUGUAUAUCAUCAUUACUUAGAGAUAAACGGUCUUAUCAAAAUAAAUAAAUAAAUGGGACGCGUGUCUGGUGGCACUCCGGCGCAUGAGUGGUUUAGUGAGUUCUUCUUCUAAGUGUUAGAUAUAUUAUAUGAUUGAAAUUUAGAUAGUAUCAUAAUUAAAAAAAAAAAAAUUGGAUUACUUAUAAAUUAUAAUAGAUUCGUGAUACAUGUGUGUGCAGAGAGAGAGAGAGAGGUAAGAAAUUGGUAAAUUUUAAAUCUAUUUUUUAGCCCUCAUCUUUUCCUGAAUUUUGAUGAUCAGCUAAAUAAACUACUUAGAAUCACUAGGCAAAACUGGAAAGUGGGAAAAAAAUUUAAAAAAAUUUUAAUUUGCACUACUACACAGAGGUUUCUGUAAUAUUUGAUGUCAUUUUCAAGUGAAGUUCAUUGCUCAACUAAAGUGAUCUUGAACGAAUCUUAUAUAUUAAAGCUUUCUGAGAAACUUGAGGUUUCUAAAAGCCGAGCCCGAUUGAGUUAUCUACCAUCUUUAUAUUAUGAGUGAUGAUACAGUCACAAAUUUUUGUAUGAAUUUAUUUUGUACAAAUUGAUAUAUCAUCAAUUCAUUGGUUGAAUGAAAAUACAAAAUAAUAAAAAUAAAUCAUGUGGGCCAAAAGAUAUUUAAUUUAACCAAUGAAUUAAUGUCAUAUCAGUUUGUACAAGAAUUUGUGACUAUAUCAUUACUCUUAUAUUAUUCGUUAUCACCAUUAAUGGAAGCUUGCAGAAAUCUGGAAUAUUGCAUGAUAUGAGCUCAUUUGUUUCAACUUUUUUGUGUUCAUUUUGACUGAGCUCAUAGAUCUGGUUUUAUUUCAAAAUUUACAAAUAAAAUCCACACGCAACGGAAUAAUUCAAAUGAAAAGACAAAUUACGAGCAGUCAUAAUGUCGUCAUUGAAUUCAACAACCACUCACUUGAAAUCUAGCUCCAGCUGGAUCACGUCCAAAAUUGAAUGAGCUUAUUGCAUGUCCUCAUUUAGCUCUUAACUGUCUUCAUCAGCUUUUGCCUCUCUAUAUAUAUGCACACAUACACACUUCAAUAUUUCAUCAGCAGCAUCCGAAAACUUUUCUUUUUUCCUUCCAAACCUGCUACCCAUUUGAAAAAUUAAUUAGCUGAAGCAGGAGAUCAUGAAUAUAUGCUUUGAACAUCCUGAGCUGUUUGGCUAUUCUCGCUGUAAACUCUUGAUAUCCCAAUUUGUAUAAUUUCUUAUUUUUCACUACUUUAGUUGGAAUUGGUGUUGGGGUAUUAAGAGUUUACAAUGAGAUAGCCAACGGCUCAUGUUGUUUUGAAGGCAUAUAUAUGAUAUAGGUUGGUUACGUAGAAUGAGUGGUGUAUUUUACAGAUGUGGAAAGUCGGGCUACAGGUAUUCGUUUUAGACAUAUAAUAUAUCAUUUUGAAUCUUGUGACAAGAUGAACCAAACUUAGAACAACAUGUGGUUGAUCUAGAAAUUUUGUUUCUUUUCUGGUCAUUUUGUUAUUCUAAGUAUUUGUUCUCUCUAUUUUUCCUAUAGAUUUCAGGAUUUUUUUUCUUUUUUUUUUAAAUAUUGGAUUUAGAUGCCAUUUGUUUUGUUUUCCUUAUUUAGAGUAGAAGAAUUUUAUUAUAAAAUAUUAUUUUUAAUUUGCAUGUUUUAGUAAAUUCAUGAUAUUUAGAACUCGUAUAUCAUUUAUGCAUCGAUACUACUUCUUCUCUAUUAAUUCCUCGCUCCAUUAGGUUUUAUAAUUUACAAUUUUGACGCUGCUUCUUCUCUAUUUAAUUUCCUUGUCGAUUAACUAAGCAUGUUAUUUGGUGACAAAUUCAUCUCUUUUCCCUUUAAGGUGGUGUUUGGUUGGAAGAAGAGAAUGGAGGAGAGGAAAAUAAUUUAAAUUAUCUUUUUAUUUCCAUUGUUUGGUUUGACAAAAUAUAUAAGAAUUUAAUUUCCAUUAAAAUUUAAUAUCCAUCAUAAUUUAGAAUUUGAAGUCCACACCUAAUAAUGAAGAAUUUAAAUUCCUCUUAUGUUAGAAAUUAAAGUUUUCAAAAUUACCCUUCAACUUUUAAACUUGUUUAAUGCCAUUAAUAAUUAUUAUUUAUAAUUUUAUUUUAUUGAUUUAAUAUUAUAAAUGGACCUUCACCGAAAAGUCACCGGACCACCGCCGGACGUCAUUGGAAAGUCGCCGGAUGUAGCCAAACUUUCACCGGAAAGUCGGUGGACCUCCACCAGACCUCGCCGGAAAGACACCAGACCUUCGCCACCGGCCACCGGACAACCAUUUUAUUAUAUAUAUAUAUAUAUAUAUUAUUAUUACUAAUUUAAAUAGUUUAAUUUUUAAAGUAAAAGAUAAAUUUGUCUUAAAAAAAAUUAUAAUUCAUUUUGAUCCUUAUCAAAUUUUAUAUCAAAUCAAACAAUAAAAUCUAAUUUCACUACUCUUCUCCGUUCCUUUCUUUUCUCUUCCUCUCCAUUCCACUCUUUUCCUCUCCUCAUUUUUUUUCAAACCAAACAUGGCCUAAGUUUUUUUAAAAUAAUUUGAACAUGUGCAUGUAUAGUCUUUCUCCCAGUUAUAAAACAUCCAAAUUAAUUCAAAUUAUUAAGUCGUAGGUUUGGUGGUUUGACUUGAAGAUGACCACGUGGUAAUCUAAUUAAGACUAUUGCCUAAAUUACAACUUGAAUAAAAUAAAAUUAUCUUAUUUAAAUUAGACCAUAUAUUCAUUAGUUUUCCUUUUUCCUAAUUUAAUUCUUAUUCAAGUUGUAAUUUUAUUUUAGGCAAGAGUCUUAAAUUUAAGUUAUUAAAAUAUAGUUUUUUUGUAAGAUUGAGUGUUGAGUUUCUAUUUAUUCGGUGUUCUCUAUAAUCAAUUAAUCUUAACAUAGUAGAUUUAUUCUUAAAAUCAACGUGAAUUCUAAUUUAGAACCACGCAACAGUAAGCAGAUUAACCGAAUAUGACUCAAGACACCAAAGCCUUGGCCAUAGAACUUUCGCGUGAAAAAAAACCGAUGAUCAAUUCAAUAUGAGUUUGUUAGGAUAAAUAGAUCUAUAAAUAAACACUUUGGGGCUACGAUAGAAUUUGCGUGAACAACAUGAAGUUCAAAGAGAAGCUGAAGUUUUUCGUUUGGACUCAUUGCUAGGAUUAGAUGAUUUCAGAUAUUUGGUGGGUCAAAUCGAUUCCUCAUUAUUCACUAAUAAGGGCCAUGUAAUUGUAUGUCAAUUUUAUGAUUCAACAUUUCAACGUAUAUCAAAUUAGUUUUUGGUGUUUCAGUUAGUUUUCCAGUACCAUUUUUAAAAGAUUUUACAGGGACAAAUGUUAGGAAAUUGAGCUUCCUCCCAAGAUCACUCCAAGCAAUUUAUCAAGCAACAAAUUAAUAGAAAAAAAUUUAAUGGAGAAUACACCAAUCACAUAACACAAGAUUUACGUGGAAAACUCCAAAUCCGGAGAAAAACCACGGCCGUUGUCACAAGACAACCAGAGAUAAAUAUUCACUGUGUGGAAAAUUAUUACAACUACUCUCAGAAAUAAUUUUCUCUCACCCAAGCCCCAAAUACAUAAUCCCAAUAAAUAUUCCUUAACAAAGCAAACUCAUAAUACUCAUAUUGAGGAGCCAAAUGCUCCUUCAAUAUAACUACAUGCUUAAGAAUAUUUUUAUCUCUCAAUUCUCACCAAAAUUUUGAUCGCUUCUCUGGGAUUUGGAUACAAAAAUAAGGAUGAGCACUCCUCUAUUUAUAGCCAAAUUAUGACUUCAUUUUCUUCCUUUUUUCCUUCUUUCCAUGGGCGGCACCUACCCAUUUUCCUUGUUCAAUGGCUAGCCACCCACCAUCUUUGAAUUCAAAGAUGGUUGCUCAACCACCCACCAUUUUGACACUUUUUUUUUAAAAUCAAUUUUCAACAAUCUCCACCUUGAUUAAAAAAGAAACAAAAUUCAUAGCCACUACUACAAAAUACUGUCUUCACCAAUAGUCAUAAUUCUCAACAUAGAGAAUUAUCAUACUCCACCAUAAAGAGUAUACCACUUAGAAUCAACCAUUCUAAGAUUUUUCUCGGCACAUGUCAAAAUAUAUUGCUGAAAUUUUUGGUGCAAUUCUCAUGCUUGGUUUCCCUAAGAAUUCUUCAGCUAGAGGUGGCAAAAAUACCCGCCCGGUCCGGACCUGAACCGUAUCCGGGCGUUGUGGGCCGGGUAUUACCCAGUCCGGGUAUGAAGCCGGGUUGAUAUUG
This 29758-nucleotide long non-coding RNA is filed under the name Citrus sinensis (sweet orange). Its description in RNAcentral is "long non-coding RNA (CSIN_LNC000632)". Lineage: Eukaryota; Viridiplantae; Streptophyta; Magnoliopsida; Sapindales; Rutaceae. The record is from RNAcentral.